Molecule: long non-coding RNA, 1465 nt
Filed under: Ricinus communis (castor bean)
Lineage: Eukaryota; Viridiplantae; Streptophyta; Magnoliopsida; Malpighiales; Euphorbiaceae
Description: long non-coding RNA (RCOM_LNC002733)
Source: RNAcentral
UGGAACCGACCCCAAGCCAGCAACACAGCUAGGCAGCCGUCAUCAAUAUCAAAACUGCUAGUACCAUUGCUGGCCCGCUCCCAUCACCAAAGGGCAGCAACAGCCCGCUACAGGUGGUUAUUCAUUACCACUGACGAACCAUGAUUAUCAUACAACAGAACAGACAUCAGCAACCACUGCACAGCUACAGUCACGGACUCAUGCUACUCUCUACAUUAAGCAACAUAAGUCAAACUCCACACGGGGGUAAAACAUGAUAAAGUCUAAUGAACGCCCCAAACAAAUAAUCAAACACAAACAUGUAACCCAUGUCCAAUUACUGCAGCUUUGAUACUCAGAGCAGCAUAAUACAUGCAUUAAGAACAAGUAAACAUGUUCAAAACUUCUAUAUCUUAGAAUUUAUAUAUACAAUUAAUAAUUUCAAAAUAUUUUUUACCAAGUCUUUCAAAAUUUUACUAAGUCUUUCAACUUUUCUUUAUAGCUAAUUUUGCAAUAUAACCAAAUUAUCUAACCUUCUACUCAGCUUAAAUACUCCUUCAAACUAAAUCAACUCAAACACUUCGAGAAUAAAUCUUACCAAAAAUUUUGAUAAAAACAAUACUCAUAACCAAAAGAGAGAAAACAUAAACACACUUGGAGCUCUUCUCUCUAUCUCUCCCUCUCUCUUUCUGCUUCUCAUCUUCUCAGACAACACUCACUUACAGGAAGAAACAAUCAACAUAAAGCAACAUAAGCAAGAGUCAGGCCAACCACUAGAUCUUAGCAAGAAUGAAACAUGGACAAAAACUUCAAAUCAAAAGUUGAAUACAAAUGGCUAGAACCGCAUUCAGAAUAUUAUGUAGAUUUUUAUCACUGCUUUCUGACAACAUUGAGGAAAUGCAUGUUAUGUUAUGAGAAAAUCGACAUAGGCAGAGUGAUGGAAUGGAGAAAAUAAUGCUGCAGCAUUAAAGCACUAGAACAUGUAAACAAAAUGCACUUAUUUGAGGAUUAGUACCAAUGCUGAUCUCAUGUAAGUAGCUCAAGCUUGUAUAUUGACAAAUGGAAUUAAAAUGAAGUCUCAGGUGACCUCUGCCAGAGAAUUUACAUGAACAAGAACAAUCAUCUGAUAAAAGGCAUGAUAAACAGUUUCAGCAUAUAGGAAAACAAAAUUUCAGGAUAAGUUACGUAACGAGUACGGAAGCCAUAUUAUCUGCACAAGACAUGAACCAGCUUACAAGUCAAAGCAGAUCUUUUGGAACUGACCCCAAGCCAGCAACACAGUUAGGCAGCCAUCAUCAAUAUCAAAACUGCUAGUAUCAUUGCUGACCCAAUCCCAUCAACAAGGGCAGCAACAGCCCGCUACAGGUGGUUAUUCACUAGCACUUGCAUUUACUGAUCAACCAUGAAUAUCAUACAACAGAACAGAAAUCAGCUACCACUGCACAGCUACAGUCACGGACUCGUAUGCUACUCACUACAUUAAGCA